Molecule: long non-coding RNA, 1033 nt
Organism: Triticum dicoccoides
Lineage: Eukaryota; Viridiplantae; Streptophyta; Magnoliopsida; Poales; Poaceae
Exons: 3
Source: RefSeq, a predicted model, not a curated record
UCACACUUCUUCCGAUUAAUUUGAUGACCGCGCCAAGAAUCCGCGACCACGACCACUGCGUCCCGGCGCGGUGCCAAAUUCGGCCAAUUCCACGGCGCCACUUUUUCUUCCCAUGUAUCAAUUCCCAGAAGGGGGCCUAUGAAUAUGUCUUUCUGCUUCCAUGCCUCUGCUGCGAAGGGGGAAGGGUUAAGGCAGAUGAUGGACUCUGUUUUCCAACAUCACCCGAUGCACCGCCGCUUACACCAUCGCUCUCCUCUACUAAGGAUGAAAAGGUCAUCGCAUUUCAGUACAUCAAUCCCUCGGCGUUCAGGAUGGCGUAUUGCUUCUGUUCAUUGCGUGGAAGUGGAACAGUUGGCCAGCAUCACGAGAAUUGGUCUUAACAAGCUUCCGUAUGGUCCCUAUUUGGGAUUGAGCGAUGACAUACAUACGGCCUAUUUGUGUCUGGUUUUUUUUAAGACGAUUCAAAUCUGUUGUCCAUUGAUUUCUUGGAUGGUGUGGGAAAAAGACACAUCAUUUCAUUUGGAUUUUAUUUUACCAUUUGUGCCUCUGCCCCGCACACCUUGAACACUCUCAGUCCAGGCUAACAACACUUAGUGCUCCAGAUGGAUUUCACUAUGAGUCUCUUUCACUUGGAUAUAAGAUAGUGUAUACCAUUUUAGAUUAUACAAUGUGAUUUUGAUUUAUUUUUUUGACACCAUCAGCCCACCAUCCAUCCAUGGGUGCAGCUCCAACAUCGGCGAACUUGAGGUCACCGGGCACCGGUCAGAAGAGGAUCUUGCUACCACGGCCGGACAAAGCAACUAGGUAGACCAAGGUAUCUCUCCAAGUAAACUAACCCAUUUCUGUUUCCCAAUUUUCUUCUAGAUGUGCAAACGUUCACUCGGUCUUAUUGAAACUCGGUUCUAAUGCUAUUGGCUGGCUCAUAAUUGUGUUAUUUCCUAUAACCUUUCCCUGCCUAACAUACUUCAUGCAAGUAUGGUAUUAGGACACAAGGGUGUCAAACUGCACAUGUUUUGUGCUGAUGGAUAUAAGA